AGUCACUGACAUUAGAUACCCGGGUAGUCCCAGCCCUAAACGAUGCGCGUUAGGUGUAUCGGUGACCACGAGUCACCGAGGUGCCGAAGGGAAACCGUGAAACGUGCCGCCUGGGAAGUACGGUCGCAAGGCUGAAACUUAAAGGAAUUGGCGGGGGAGCACCACAACGGGUGGAGCUUGCGGUUUAAUUGGAUUCAACGCCGGAAAUCUUACCGGGACCGACAGCAACAUGAAGGCCAGGCUGAAGACUUUGCCGGAUUAGCUG
RNAcentral lists this ribosomal RNA (265 nucleotides) under uncultured archaeon. RNAcentral describes it as "partial 16S ribosomal RNA". It matches the Rfam family "Archaeal small subunit ribosomal RNA", at positions 719 to 982 of the family's 1478-position model. The record is from RNAcentral.